Apiosordaria backusii is the source of this 90-nucleotide non-coding RNA. NCBI's taxonomy places the organism in Eukaryota, Fungi, Ascomycota, Sordariomycetes, Sordariales, Lasiosphaeriaceae. The record is from the annotation of a GenBank genome assembly.
GGCCGUGUGGUGUAGUGGUAGCAUACUUGCUUUGGGAACUUCUCUCAUUGCUCUUGCAAGUGGUCCCAGGUUCGAGCCCUGGCUCGGCCC